GACGAACGCUGGCGGCGUGCUUAACACAUGCAAGUCGAACGAUGAAGAAGAGAAACGCGAACUUCGGUUCAAAUUUCACUUCGGAUUAGUGGCAGACGGGUGAGUAACGCGUGAGCAACCUACCUCUUACAAAGGGAUAGCCUCGGGAAACCGUGAUUAAUACCAUAUGACACAUUCAUAAGGCAUCUUAAGAAUGUUAAAGCUACGGCGGUAAGAGAUGGGCUCGCGUCCCAUUAGCUAGUUGGUGAGGUAACGGCCCACCAAGGCGACGAUGGGGAACCGGCCUGUGAGCGUGAACGGUCACAUUGGAACUGGGACCCGGUCCAAACUCCUACGGGAGGCAGCAGUGGGGAAUAUUGCACAAUGGAGGGAACUCUGAUGCAGCGACGCCGCGUGAGCGAUGAAGGAAUUCGUUUCGUAAAGCUCUGUUCUAUGGGAAGAAAAGGACUGUACCAUAGGAGAAAGCCCCGGCUAAAUACGU
This 481-nucleotide ribosomal RNA is filed under the name uncultured bacterium. RNAcentral describes it as "partial 16S ribosomal RNA". It matches the Rfam family "Bacterial small subunit ribosomal RNA", at positions 28 to 506 of the family's 1533-position model. The record is from RNAcentral.